AGUGAACGCUGGCGGUAGGCCUAACACAUGCAAGUCGAACGGCAGCACAGUAAGAUCUUGCUCUUACGGGUGGCGAGUGGCGGACGGGUGAGGCAUACAUCGGAAUCUACUUUUUCGUGGGGGAUAACGUAGGGAAACAUACGCUAAUACCGCAUACGACCUACGGGUGAAAUCAGCGGAUCUUCGGACCUUGCGCGAUUGAAUUAGCCGAUGUCGGAUUAGCUAGUUGGCGGGGUAAAGGCCCACCAAGGCGACGAUCCGUAGCUGGUCUGAGAGGAUGAUCAGCCACACUGGAACUGAGACACGGUCCAGACUCCUACGGGAGGCAGCAGUGGGGAAUAUUGGACAAUGGGCGAAAGCCUGAUCCAGCCACACCGCGUGGGUGAAGAAGGCCUUCGGGUUGUAAAGCCCUUUUGUUGGGAAAGAAAAGCAGCAGGUUAAUACCCCGAUGUUCUGACGGUACCCAAAGAAUAAGCACCGGCUAACUUCGUG
RNAcentral lists this ribosomal RNA (492 nucleotides) under uncultured bacterium. Its description in RNAcentral is "partial 16S ribosomal RNA". It matches the Rfam family "Bacterial small subunit ribosomal RNA", at positions 29 to 507 of the family's 1533-position model. The record is from RNAcentral.